RNAcentral lists this ribosomal RNA (679 nucleotides) under Stutzerimonas stutzeri. RNAcentral describes it as "Pseudomonas stutzeri partial 23S ribosomal RNA". It matches the Rfam family "Bacterial large subunit ribosomal RNA", at positions 588 to 1270 of the family's 2925-position model. The record is from RNAcentral. Lineage: Bacteria; Pseudomonadati; Pseudomonadota; Gammaproteobacteria; Pseudomonadales; Pseudomonadaceae.
GUUAGGUGACUGCGUACCUUUUGUAUAAUGGGUCAGCGACUUAUUUUCAGUGGCGAGCUUAACCGAAUAGGGGAGGCGUAGCGAAAGCGAGUCUUAAUAGGGCGUCUAGUCGCUGGGAAUAGACCCGAAACCGGGCGAUCUAUCCAUGGGCAGGUUGAAGGUUAGGUAACACUGACUGGAGGACCGAACCGACUACCGUUGAAAAGUUAGCGGAUGACCUGUGGAUCGGAGUGAAAGGCUAAUCAAGCUCGGAGAUAGCUGGUUCUCCUCGAAAGCUAUUUAGGUAGCGCCUCGUGUAUCACUGCUGGGGGUAGAGCACUGUUUCGGCUAGGGGGUCAUCCCGACUUACCAAACCGAUGCAAACUCCGAAUACCAGCAAGUGUCAGCACGGGAGACACACGGCGGGUGCUAACGUCCGUCGUGAAAAGGGAAACAACCCAGACCGUCAGCUAAGGUCCCAAAAUCCUGGUUAAGUGGGAAACGAUGUGGGAAGGCUUAGACAGCUAGGAGGUUGGCUUAGAAGCAGCCAUCCUUUAAAGAAAGCGUAAUAGCUCACUAGUCGAGUCGGCCUGCGCGGAAGAUGUAACGGGGCUCAAACCAGGUACCGAAGCUACGGGUUCAUCGCAAGAUGAGCGGUAGAGGAGCGUUCUGUAAGCCUGUGAAGGUGAGUUGAGAAGCU